Long non-coding RNA from Aedes aegypti (yellow fever mosquito), 908 nucleotides. RefSeq lists it as uncharacterized. The record is from RefSeq and is a predicted model, not a curated record. NCBI's taxonomy places the organism in Eukaryota, Metazoa, Arthropoda, Insecta, Diptera, Culicidae. The transcript has 2 exons.
UCAAAUUUCGCUCAUCCGUGGCGUUGAAGACGACGAUCGCCACUUCUUGUUAUUUUACUGCUGGCUGACGACUGAUAACUCAAAGACCGUGAUUGCUAGGUAGCCAAACAUAAGGUAGGGUCAGUUAUUUGAGGUUUUUGUUACGUGCUUGCAGUUCCGAGUGAUGCCAGUUGAAAGAUUCCUCUUCCGAUCAUGUAGAUGAUGACUGCAGUCUAUCUGGUUUGCGUGUCUGAACGCAACGAAAUCUCCUGUAUUUCAUUCGAACUUCCUGGACUCGCAAAAAAGUUUUGGACAUUGACUAAAAAACAUUCCACUUGUUCUCAACGAAUCAACCAUCACAACCAUAUCUUAUCAGGAAACGAAAGCUGCAUUUGCCGUUUCGAAGAGAUCGCUACGUGUCGUCAUCGAUGUGACGUCGACUCUCUCACUUGGCAGGCUCCGUGCGAUUCAAGUUUACUGACAUCAUACCCGCUAAGAGUUGAUUUCAUUUUCAGCGACGUUCCAUGGCUCGAUUCAACGAUCUCUGCGGUUGGCUCUGUUAGGUACGAUGGCGUGAAUUAGUCAGUUGACCGACGUUCAAUCGCGCGGAUCAACCAAAACUUUCCGACUGGCUGAACAGCGGUGAGCCUCGACCGUGAAUGGAUUUAUUGCAAUGGCAACAUCAUUAUCGAUACAGGUUAACUUUGUACUAUUUACAAUAAAUAUUCAUUAGGGUUUUUUUUUUCAUAUAUUCAUGCGAAAAUCAACGCAAUGAAACAGAAUAUCAAUGAUCAAUAUAUAGUGUAAUUAAUUUUCAAUAAGGUUCAAAUAAUGUAUAAUGACCCCACAGUUAUGGAUCAAUUAGUGUCAAAUCCAACCUAUUCAAUUCAAAAUGAACAAUAAAGAAUACAUAAAAUUUAAAUGGAAAA